UCUUCGGCAAUGGACGAAAGUCUGACCGAGCGACGCCGCGUGCGGGAUGAAGGCCUUCGGGUUGUAAACCGCUGUCAGUUGGGAGGAAAUCUAUGGGGGUACUCCCCCAUAGUUGACCGAUCUUCAGAGGAAGGACGGGCUAAGUUCGUGCCAGCAGCCGCGGUAAGACGAACCGUCCAAACGUUAUUCGGUAUCACUGGGCUUAAAGCGUGCGUAGGCGGUCUGGUAGGUGGGGUGUGAAAGCCCUCGGCUCAACCGAGGAAUAGCGCUCCAAACCCCCAGACUUGAGGAAGACAGGGGUGAGUGGAACUGUUGGUGGAGCGGUGAAAUGCGUUGAUAUCAACAGGAACACCGGUGGCGAAAGCGACUCACUGGGUCUUUUCUGACGCUGAGGCACGAAAGCUAGGGGAGCGAACGGG
RNAcentral lists this ribosomal RNA (419 nucleotides) under uncultured bacterium. RNAcentral's name for it is "bacterial SSU rRNA". It matches the Rfam family "Bacterial small subunit ribosomal RNA", at positions 362 to 776 of the family's 1533-position model. The record is from RNAcentral.